This 253-nucleotide ribosomal RNA is filed under the name uncultured bacterium. Its description in RNAcentral is "partial 16S ribosomal RNA". It matches the Rfam family "Bacterial small subunit ribosomal RNA", at positions 524 to 776 of the family's 1533-position model. The record is from RNAcentral.
UACAGAGGGUGCAACCGUUGCUCGGAAUCAUUGGGCGUAAAGCGCACGUAGGCGGCCCAGCAAGUGGGGAGUGAAAGCCCUCGGCUUAACCGAGGAAGUGCUUUCCAAACUACUGGGCUUGAAUACUGGAGAGGGUCGCGGAAUUCCCGGUGUAGAGGUGAAAUUCGUAGAUAUCGGGAGGAACACCAGUGGCGAAGGCGGCGACCUGGACCGACACUGACGCUGAGGCGCGAAAGCUAGGGGAGCAAACGGG